RNAcentral lists this microRNA (21 nucleotides) under Zea mays. RNAcentral's name for it is "microRNA miR-3005". Lineage: Eukaryota; Viridiplantae; Streptophyta; Magnoliopsida; Poales; Poaceae. The record is from RNAcentral.
UCUCGAAGCGAGUCUGAGUGA